Molecule: ribosomal RNA, 555 nt
Filed under: Triticum aestivum (bread wheat)
Lineage: Eukaryota; Viridiplantae; Streptophyta; Magnoliopsida; Poales; Poaceae
Description: partial small subunit ribosomal RNA
Source: RNAcentral
AUGGCCGAAUGCUUCAAUAGGGUGCUCAAAGGUGCACGUGGAUUACCCGUGACGGCAAUAGUUCAAUACACAUUUGACAAGAUGAAUGCGUACUUUGUAAAGUACUCGAUGGAAACCGAUGCACAGAUAGCGGGUGAGAACCCACGGAAGUACAAGUACAAGUUCCCACCCAAAGUUGAUGAAUGGUUGCUAUUUCAAUCACGGAAGGCGGACUCAGAAGAAGCUAUAUUAUAUGACAAUGAGGAGUGGAAGUACGAAGUGAAAGAGCCAGGAGGAACCACAAACGAUGGCCGGCAACAUGGAGGUCGGGCUUUCAAGGUGUCAUUAACACAAUGUGAUUGCACUUGCGGGAGGCCAUUGUUGCUUCAUCUCCCAUGCUCACAUUUGUAUGCCGCCGGCCGCGUUAGGAAUGUGGACAUCAAUCACCCACGCACCGUGAGGGAGUCCCAGUUCUCAAUCAUGACGGUCAAGAAAACAUGGGCUCCCCGCUUUCACCCAUACUUUGACCAAUCACAAUGGCCGGAGUAGCAUGGAGUUCAACUAUGGCCGGAUCCG